Fukomys damarensis (Damara mole-rat) is the source of this 560-nucleotide long non-coding RNA. RefSeq lists it as uncharacterized. Lineage: Eukaryota; Metazoa; Chordata; Mammalia; Rodentia; Bathyergidae. The transcript is spliced from 3 exons. The record is from RefSeq and is a predicted model, not a curated record.
UGGAAUCUUGCCCUCUGAACUAACCAUUAGGAGGUGCUCAUAGUUUGGAACAAUUCCUUCAGACCUUGAAAGUUCAUUCUGAGGUCUUGAAGAAAAUAAGGACAAUUAAGGAAAAAUGCAAAGAAGCAACUGGUGCUGUUUCUGAGGAAGCACAGACAACACCAAAACAGAACAGCUCCUUCAUUGUGGGGAGGAGAAAAUGAGACAAAGAGAACAACAGAGUAAAAAGUGUCAGAAAGAAAUGGGCCUACUCCCACCCAUCCCUUCCUGAUAAUUACAAGCGAUGGAGACUCCAAAGAGCGUGAAGAUUCCUGGGAAGAUUUGCAUUCGCCCGCUUCCAGAAUAUAGUAAACAGACCCUAAGCCUUUAGAAAGGUUCUGUGUUGAGCGGCAAGCCUCAGCUGUCCAAAAGACGUAGUUAGAGAAUCUCAUCUAGAGGCUCACAAGCCCUGAAAGAAAGGUCGCAGAGAAGGGAGGGCUCAAUCUUUGAGUCAUACCGAAGAGGAAACAGGAUGAGGAGUGGGCAGAAGAGGACAGUUUAGUCCAGGAUGUGCUGGGGCA